UUUGCAGCAUGAAAACUAAUAGUAAUAUUGGAAAUUCAGUUUCAGGUUUCAGUUCUUCAGUUUGCUGGUUUUCUCUUGCCAUGCUACGUAAUGGCCAGAUCUUGGUACAUACAAAGCCGUAGGAGACAGGUUUAAGUGAACUAUAUUGGCCAAAUCAUGGAUAGCUGGUUGUCUAUUGGUACCUGAAGAGGGCGUGCUGCUUAUGGAUCAGACUGUCUGGAGUAAUUGAUGUGGAGAACUGCAUUUCAACUGAAGGUGUAGUUGUAGUCAUUCCACUCUUACUCUGACCUUGGCCAAAAAUAGAAGGAAACGAAAACCCUAAAAAUGGAAGGCAAAAACUGCUACAAGUCAGAAAUGACAUGGAAAAGGAGAGAAAUUGACUAAUUAAUGUAAUGUGAGGGGAAUAUGAGAGACAAAAUUGAUGUAAAUGUGUGUUGAUGGUUCUUUUUUUCUUUUUCUUUUUCUGUAAGUUCCAAUUGAUCACAAAUCAACCGUUGUGGUUGUUCUGUAGUUAGGCUACUACGGCUAGUGAUCUCAGUGUGGGCUCUGAUAUUUAGGAAUGAAAAGUGUAAAUAAUUUCCAUAUCAAUGAAUUGCUCGAGUAGGCAUUUCGCUUGCUGGGGCUUUAUGAACUUUAUGGACAUGGAAAAACCUAGAGGUCCCUCCUUUUGUGGUCUAA
Long non-coding RNA from Eucalyptus grandis, 678 nucleotides. RefSeq lists it as uncharacterized. NCBI's taxonomy places the organism in Eukaryota, Viridiplantae, Streptophyta, Magnoliopsida, Myrtales, Myrtaceae. The transcript is spliced from 2 exons. The record is from RefSeq and is a predicted model, not a curated record.